GACGAACGCUGGCGGCGUGCUUAACACAUGCAAGUCGAACGGAGAGGCCCUGCGUUUGUGGGGUGCUCGAGUGGCGAACGGGUGAGUAACACGUGAGUAACCUGCCCUUGACUUUGGGAUAACUUCAGGAAACUGGGGCUAAUACCGGAUAGGAGCUCCUGCUGCAUGGUGGGGGUUGGAAAGUUUCGGCGGUUGGGGAUGGACUCGCGGCUUAUCAGCUUGUUGGUGGGGUAGUGGCUUACCAAGGCUUUGACGGGUAGCCGGCCUGAGAGGGUGACCGGCCACAUUGGGACUGAGAUACGGCCCAGACUCCUACGGGAGGCAGCAGUGGGGAAUAUUGCACAAUGGGCGGAAGCCUGAUGCAGCAACGCCGCGUGCGGGAUGACGGCCUUCGGGUUGUAAACCGCUUUCGCCUGUGACGAAGCGUGAGUGACGGUAAUGGGUAAAGAAGCACCGGCUAACUACGUG
RNAcentral lists this ribosomal RNA (468 nucleotides) under uncultured bacterium. RNAcentral's name for it is "partial 16S ribosomal RNA". It matches the Rfam family "Bacterial small subunit ribosomal RNA", at positions 28 to 507 of the family's 1533-position model. The record is from RNAcentral.